Gallus gallus (chicken) is the source of this 1861-nucleotide long non-coding RNA. NCBI's taxonomy places the organism in Eukaryota, Metazoa, Chordata, Aves, Galliformes, Phasianidae. The record is from Ensembl.
GAGAAUGGUCAGCCUCACCUCUGUACCAUGGAAAAGAUCCUCCCAGAAGCUAUGUUGAUAUAUGUAUGUGGAAAUGGGUAUGGAGAUGAUUUGAGAUAACCUACAUGGCUUCACAAAAACAAAUUGUGCCACCUACUGGCCUAUGGUGAGUGAUUGCAUCAGUGAGUUGCUGUCAACAGCUCAAUAUCUACAUGGAGAUAAAUGAUCAGUAGUGGUCCUCAAAGGGCAGAUAUUGUUUAAUAUUUUUAGUAAUGACAGUGGAUUUGAGUGCACUGUCAGCAAGUUUGCAGAUGACAGCAAGCUGAGUGGUAUGCUUGACAUGAUAGAUGGAAGGAAUGAUAUUUACAUGCAGAGUUGAGAAAUGGGACUACAUAAUCCUCAGCAAGGCCAGAUGAGGUGCAUCUGGGUGAGGGCAACCCCAAACAUCAGUAUGGACUGGGUGAUUAAGGGCAAUUGUGUGAAGAAGGACUUGGUGUACUGGUGGGUGGAAAGCUGCUGUAAAGUCUUCCUGUGUAGCUCCUGAGAAAUCAACAAGUAGGCCAUCUUAUUGCUAGAAGUAAAACCAAUUAUCAUUACUCUUUCUCACGUUAACUCAAAUAACAAAUCUCUCCAAAAUUACACAUCAUAACAAUAAAUAUAUAAAUAACUAAGCAAAGUCCACUCAUUUGGUGCAAUCGCAUAUAUUAAUAAGACUGCUUUAGAAUAGUCAGAAGUGCCAUCUGCUGCUACACACAAGAAUCUCACUCUCUCAGUCACCUCUGGGAGGAAAGGAACUCAUGUUUAAGCAGUAGCAUCUGUGUUUUUAGGAAAAUAAUAAACUCAAUAUUCAGCUCAUACCAAAGUCAGAUGUAGUCAUUGUAGGCAUUGGAUUUACUUUUAAUCAUAAUGUAACCUUACACAAGCACAUUUUUCAUUGCUUCUCUUAAUAUUUAAUGUGCUUACAAGGACUUUACAAUCUACAAGGUCUGCUCCAAAACUAAUGGCUUCUAUUUUAUGUUGGUGCACAAUGUUAGAGGCAGAUGCUGAUAGGAUGGCAGCAGAGGUUGAACCUUCCCACCAAUAUCCCAUUACAUGUUGUUGCUGUGUGACAGAUGGCAGCAGAGGGGACAUCUGACAGAAUGGAGUCUGCCAUGGUAGUGUGCAUGGAACAAAGCCCAUCAUCAUGGAACAUCAUCUUUGACUUUUAGGAUGUGAGAAGGAGUUGAAUUUAGUAAGAUACGCUGCACGGAUAAAGCAUGAUGAGUCAAAGUGAGCAGUAUCUAGAGCAUGACCAAGGAACAGUAGAAUAAAGGAUUCAGCCUGAAAAGUCGUGUGUAUAUAUAUAUAUAUAUGUGUGUGUAUGUGUGUGUGUGUAUAUAUGUAUAUGUGUGUGUGUGUAUGUGUGUGUGUAUAAAUAAAAAGGCUACAACCUGCUGGAGGUGCUUAACCCUUUUCCAUUCAUAACAGAGUAAACCUGGAUGUGUCACCACCAGAACUUAGCUUGCUAGCAAUGGGAUCUAUCAGUGCUGCUCCAAAAGUCACCAGUGUUUGUGUCAAUGAGGUGUGGGAAAUGGUGGGGUACACAUGGAGCUGAAACUCCUGCAUCUCAUAGAAUCAAAGAAUCAUUAAGGUUGAAAAAUACCUCUAAGAUCACAAAGUCCAACCUCACCCUAUCCUCACCAUACCCACUGAUCAUGUCACUCAGUGCCACAUCUCCACCAUCGCCUCCAGGGAUGGUGACCCCCCCCCCCCCCCCAGCUCCCUGGGCAGCCUGUGCCUGUGCAUCACCACUCCUUCUGAGAAGAACUUUUUUGUAACAUCCAACCUGAGGGGCUCUCGCAGAGGAUGCUCAAGGAGGGGAUCCUGCAGUGCUAGAAGAAGG